AGUUUUCGGACAAUGGAAGUAGAGGAAAGUGGCGGACGGGUGAGUAACGCGUGAGGAACCUGCCUUGAAGAGGGGGACAACAGUUGGAAACGACUGCUAAUACCGCAUGACGCAUAGGGGUCGCAUGAUCUUUAUGCCAAAGAUUUAUCGCUUCAAGAUGGCCUCGCGUCUGAUUAGCUAGUUGGCGGGGUAACGGCCCACCAAGGCGACGAUCAGUAGCCGGACUGAGAGGUUGAACGGCCACAUUGGGACUGAGAUACGGCCCAGACUCCUACGGGAGGCAGCAGUGGGGAAUAUUGGGCAAUGGGCGCAAGCCUGACCCAGCAACGCCGCGUGAAGGAAGAAGGCUUUCGGGUUGUAAACUUCUUUUAAGAGGGAAGAGCAGAAGACGGUACCUCUAGAAUAAGCCACGGCUAACUACGUGCCAGCAGCCGCGGUAAUACGUAGGUGGCAAGCGUUGUCCGGAUUUACUGGGUGUAAAGGGCGUGCAGCCGGGUCUGCAAGUCAGAUGUGAAAUCCAUGGGCUCAACCCAUGAACUGCAUUUGAAACUGUAGAUCUUGAGUGUCGGAGGGGCAAUCGGAAUUCCUAGUGUAGCGGUGAAAUGCGUAGAUAUUAGGAGGAACACCAGUGGCGAAGGCGGAUUGCUGGACGAUAACUGACGGUGAGGCGCGAAAGUGUGGGGAGCAAACAGGAUUAGAUACCCUGGUAGUCCACACUGUAAACGAUGAAUACUAGGUGUGCGGGGACUGACCCCCUGCGUGCCGCAG
This 768-nucleotide ribosomal RNA is filed under the name uncultured Bacillota bacterium. RNAcentral describes it as "bacterial SSU rRNA". It matches the Rfam family "Bacterial small subunit ribosomal RNA", at positions 75 to 851 of the family's 1533-position model. Lineage: Bacteria; Bacillati; Bacillota. The record is from RNAcentral.